UACGGAGGGGGCGAGCGUUAUUCGGAAUUAUUGGGCGUAAAGGGCGCGUAGGCGGCUGUACAAGUCAGAGGUGAAAUCCCUCGGCUCAACUGAGGAACUGCCUUUGAAACUGUACGGCUUGAGGCCGGGAGGGGGUAGCGGAAUUCCCAGUGUAGCGGUGAAAUGCGUAGAUACUGGGAGGAACACCAGUGGCGAAGGCGGCUACCUGGACCGGUUCUGACGCUGAGGCGCGAAAGCGUGGGUAGCAAACAGG
This 253-nucleotide ribosomal RNA is filed under the name uncultured bacterium. RNAcentral's name for it is "partial 16S ribosomal RNA". It matches the Rfam family "Bacterial small subunit ribosomal RNA", at positions 524 to 776 of the family's 1533-position model. The record is from RNAcentral.